This 377-nucleotide ribosomal RNA is filed under the name uncultured bacterium. RNAcentral's name for it is "bacterial SSU rRNA". It matches the Rfam family "Bacterial small subunit ribosomal RNA", at positions 523 to 898 of the family's 1533-position model. The record is from RNAcentral.
AUACGUAGGGGGCGAGCGUUGUCCGGAAUUACUGGGCGUAAAGGGCGUGUAGGCGGCCUGUCAAGUCAGGGGUGAAAGCCCGGGGCUCAACUCCGGGUGUGCCUUUGAGACUGAUGGGCUUGAGUGCUCCAGAGGGCAGUGGAAUUCCCGGUGUAGCGGUGAAAUGCGUAGAGAUCGGGAGGAACACCAGUGGCGAAAGCGGCUGCCUGGGGAGCGACUGACGCUGAGGCGCGCAAGCUGGGGGAGCAAACAGGAUUAGAUACCCUGGUAGUCCCAGCCGUAAACGAUGAGUGCUAGGUGUGAGGGGUAUCGACCCCCCUCGUGCCGUAGCUAACGCAAUAAGCACUCCGCCUGGGGAGUACGGCCGCAAGGUUGAA